UGGGGAAUAUUGCACAAUGGGCGCAAGCCUGAUGCAGCCAUGCCGCGUGUGUGAAGAAGGCCUUCGGGUUGUAAAGCACUUUCAGCGGGGAGGAAGGCGUUAAGGUUAAUAACCUUGGCGAUUGACGUUACCCACAGAAGAAGCACCGGCUAACUCCGUGCCAGCAGCCGCGGUAAUACGGAGGGUGCAAGCGUUAAUCGGAAUUACUGGGCGUAAAGCGCACGCAGGCGGUCUGUCAAGUCGGAUGUGAAAUCCCCGGGCUCAACCUGGGAACUGCAUUCGAAACUGGCAGGCUAGAGUCUUGUAGAGGGGGGUAGAAUUCCAGGUGUAGCGGUGAAAUGCGUAGAGAUCUGGAGGAAUACCGGUGGCGAAGGCGGCCCCCUGGACAAAGACUGACGCUCAGGUGCGAAAGCGUGGGGAGCAAACAGG
This 429-nucleotide ribosomal RNA is filed under the name Chloroflexota bacterium. Its description in RNAcentral is "Chloroflexi bacterium partial 16S ribosomal RNA". It matches the Rfam family "Bacterial small subunit ribosomal RNA", at positions 355 to 776 of the family's 1533-position model. The record is from RNAcentral. Lineage: Bacteria; Bacillati; Chloroflexota.